RNAcentral lists this ribosomal RNA (493 nucleotides) under uncultured bacterium. Its description in RNAcentral is "bacterial SSU rRNA". It matches the Rfam family "Bacterial small subunit ribosomal RNA", at positions 15 to 507 of the family's 1533-position model. The record is from RNAcentral.
GAUCAUGGCUCAGGAUGAACGCUGGCGGCGUGCUUAACACAUGCAAGUCGAACGAAGCAAUUUAACUUGAUUUCUUCGGAAUGAUUGUACUUUGACUGAGUGGCGGACGGGUGAGUAACGCGUGGGUAACCUGCCUCAUACAGGGGGAUAACAGUUAGAAAUGACUGCUAAUACCGCAUAAGUGCACAGUACCGCAUGGUACAGUGUAAAAAACUCCGGUGGUGUGAGAUGGACCCGCGUCUGAUUAGCUAGUUGGUGGGGUAACGGCCCACCAAGGCGACGAUCAGUAGCCGGCCUGAGAGGGUGAAUGGCCACAUUGGGACUGAGACACGGCCCAAACUCCUACGGGAGGCAGCAGUGGGGAAUAUUGCACAAUGGGGGAAACCCUGAUGCAGCAACGCCGCGUGAGUGAAGAAGUAUUUCGGUAUGUAAAGCUCUAUCAGCAGGGAAGAAAAUGACGGUACCUGACUAAGAAGCUCCGGCUAAAUACGUG